Molecule: ribosomal RNA, 471 nt
Filed under: uncultured bacterium
Lineage: Bacteria
Description: partial 16S ribosomal RNA
Rfam family: Bacterial small subunit ribosomal RNA
Source: RNAcentral
GACGAACGCUGGCGGCGUGCUUAACACAUGCAAGUCGAACGAUGAAGCCUAGCUUGCUAGGUGGAUUAGUGGCGAACGGGUGAGUAAUACGUGAGUGACCUACCUUUGACUCUGGGAUAAGCCUGGGAAACUGGGUCUAAUACCGGAUACGACCAAUCUCCGCAUGGGGUGUUGGUGGAAAGCGUUAUGGAGUGGUUUUAGAUGGGCCCACGGCCUAUCAGCUUGUUGGGGAGGUAAUGGCUUACCAAGGCGACGACGGGUAGCCGGCCUGGGAGGGUGACCGGCCACACUGGGACUGAGACAGGGCCCAGACUCCUACGGGAGGCAGCAGUGGGGAAUAUUGCACAAUGGGCGCAAGCCUGAUGCAGCGACGCCGCGUGAGGGAUGACGGCCUUCGGGUUGUAAACCUCUGUUAGCAUCGAAGAAGCGAAAGUGACGGUAGGUGCAGAGAAAGCGCCGGCUAACUACGUG